This 466-nucleotide ribosomal RNA is filed under the name uncultured bacterium. RNAcentral's name for it is "partial 16S ribosomal RNA". It matches the Rfam family "Bacterial small subunit ribosomal RNA", at positions 28 to 507 of the family's 1533-position model. The record is from RNAcentral.
GAUGAACGCUGGCGGCGUGCUUAACACAUGCAAGUCGAACGGAAAGGCCCAAGCUUGCUUGGGUACUCGAGUGGCGAACGGGUGAGUAACACGUGGGUGAUCUGCCCUGCACUUCGGGAUAAGCCUGGGAAACUGGGUCUAAUACCGGAUAGGACCACAUUUUGGAUGGUGUGGUGGAAAGUUUUUCGGUGUGGGAUGAGCUCGCGGCCUAUCAGCUUGUUGGUGGGGUAAUGGCCUACCAAGGCGUCGACGGGUAGCCGGCCUGAGAGGGUGUACGGCCACAUUGGGACUGAGAUACGGCCCAGACUCCUACGGGAGGCAGCAGUGGGGAAGAUUGCACAAUGGGCGCAAGCCUGAUGCAGCGACGCCGCGUGGGGGAUGACGGCCUUCGGGUUGGAAACUCCUUUCGCUAGGGACGAAGCGUUAUGUGACGGUACCUGGAGAAGAAGCACCGGCUAACUACGUG